GAGCUUGCUCUUGGCUGACGAGUGGCGGACGGGUGAGUAACGCGUGGGAAUCUGCCUAGUAGUUGGGGACAACCUGGUGAAAACCAGGCUAAUACCGAAUGUGGUCUACGGACUAAAGCAGGGGAUCUUCGGACCUUGCGCUACUAGAUGAGCCCGCGUUAGAUUAGCUAGUUGGUGAGGUAAAAGCUCACCAAGGCGACGAUCUAUAGCUGGUCUGAGAGGACGAUCAGCCACACUGGGACUGAGACACGGCCCAGACUCCUACGGGAGGCAGCAGUGGGGAAUAUUGGACAAUGGGCACAAGCCUGAUCCAGCAAUACCGCGUGUGUGAAGAAGGCCUGAGGGUUGUAAAGCACUUUCAAUUGUGAAGAAAGGAUUAAGGUUAAUAACCUUGAUUUUUGACGUUAACUUUAGAAGAAGCACCGGCUAACCCUGUGCCAGCAGCCGCGGUAAUACAGGGGGUGCGAGCGUUGAUCGGAAUUACUGGGCGUAAAGCGUACGUAGGCGGAUAUUUAAGUCAGAUGUGAAAGCCCCGGGCUCAACCUGGGAACUGCAUUUGAAACUGGAUGUCUAGAGUUUGGUAGAGGCGGGUAGAAUUCCUAGUGUAGCGGUGAAAUGCGUAGAUAUUAGGAGGAAUACCAGUGGCGAAGGCGGCCCGCUGGACCAAAACUGACGCUGAGGUACGAAAGCGUGGGGAGCAAACGGGAUUAGAUACCCCGGUAGUCCACGCCGUAAACGAUGUCAACUAGUCGUUGGGUCCUUCGGGGCUUAGUGACGCAGCUAACGCGUGAAGUUGACCGCCUGGGGAGUACGGCCGCAAGGCUAAAACUCAAAUGAAUUGACGGGGGCCCGCACAAGCGGUGGAGCAUGUGGUUUAAUUCGAUGCAACGCGAAGAACCUUACCUACCCUUGACAUCAUCAGAACUUGUUAGAGAUAACUCGGUGCCUUCGGGAACUGAAUGACAGGUGCUGCAUGGCUGUCGUCAGCUCGUGUCGUGAGAUGUUGGGUUAAGUCCCGCAACGAGCGCAACCCUUGUCCUUAGUUGCCAGCACGUAAUGGUGGGAACUCUAAGGAGACUGCCGGUGAUAAACCGGAGGAAGGUGGGGAUGACGUCAAGUCAUCAUGGCCCUUAUGGGUAGGGCUACACACGUGCUACAAUGGUACAUACAGAGGGCAGCGACCUCGCGAGAGCAAGCAAAUCCCAGAAAGUGUAUCGUAGUCCGGAUUGGAGUCUGCAACUCGACUCCAUGAAGUCGGAAUCGCUAGUAAUCGUGAAUCAGAAUGUCACGGUGAAUACGUUCCCGGGCCUUGUACACACCGCCCGUCACACCAUGGGAGUGGGCUGCAAAAGAAGUAGGUAGCAUAACCUUCGGGGGUGCGCUUACCACUUUGUGGUUCAUGACUGG
RNAcentral lists this ribosomal RNA (1407 nucleotides) under gamma proteobacterium endosymbiont of Siboglinum fiordicum. RNAcentral describes it as "16S ribosomal RNA". It matches the Rfam family "Bacterial small subunit ribosomal RNA". The record is from RNAcentral. Lineage: Bacteria; Pseudomonadati; Pseudomonadota; Gammaproteobacteria.